Molecule: ribosomal RNA, 467 nt
Filed under: uncultured bacterium
Lineage: Bacteria
Description: partial 16S ribosomal RNA
Rfam family: Bacterial small subunit ribosomal RNA
Source: RNAcentral
GACGAACGCUGGCGGCGUGCUUAACACAUGCAAGUCGAACGGAAAGGCCUCUUUCGGGGGGUACUCGAGUGGCGAACGGGUGAGUAACACGCGAGUAACCUGCCCUUGACUUUGGGAUAACUUCAGGAAACUGGGGCUAAUACCGGAUAGGAGCUCCUGCUGCAUGGUGGGGGUUGGAAAGUUUCGGCGGUUGGGGAUGGACUCUCGGCUUAUCAGCUUGUUGGUGGGGUAGUGGCUUACCAAGGCUUUGACGGGUAGCCGGCCUGAGAGGGUGACCGGCCACAAUGGGACUGAGAUACGGCCCAGACUCCUACGGGAGGCAGCAGUGGGGAAUAUUGCACAAUGGGUGGAAGCAUGAUGCAGCAACGCCGUGUGCGGGAUGACGGCCUUCGGGUUGUAAACCGAUUUCGCUCAUGACGAAGCUUUGUGUGACGGUAGUGGGUAAAGAAGCACCGGCUAACUACGUG